GAUGAACGCUGGCGGCGUGCCUAAUACAUGCAAGUCGAGCGAACAGACGAGGAGCUUGCUCCUCUGACGUUAGCGGCGCACGGGUGAGUAACACGUGGAUAACCUACCUAUAAGACUGGGAUAACUUCGGGAAACCGGAGCUAAUACCGGAUAAUAUAUUGAACCGCAUGGUUCAAUAGUGAAAGACGGUUUUGCUGUCACUUAUAGAUGGAUCCGCGCCGCAUUAGCUAGUUGGUAAGGUAACGGCUUACCAAGGCAACGAUGCGUAGCCGACCUGAGAGGGUGAUCGGCCACACUGGAACUGAGACACGGUCCAGACUCCUACGGGAGGCAGCAGUAGGGAAUCUGCCGCAAUGGGCGAAAGCUUGACGGAGCAACGCCGCGUGAGUGAUGAAGGUCUUCGGAUCGUAAAACUCUGUUAUUAGGGAAGAACAAAUGUGUAAGUAACUAUGCACGUCUUGACGGUACCUAAUCAGAAAGCCACGGCUAACUACGUG
Molecule: ribosomal RNA, 497 nt
Filed under: uncultured bacterium
Lineage: Bacteria
Description: partial 16S ribosomal RNA
Rfam family: Bacterial small subunit ribosomal RNA
Source: RNAcentral